GAAAUGCGAUAAGUAAUGCGAAUUGCAGAAUUCAGUGAAUCAUCGAAUCUUUGAACGCACAUUGCGCCCCCCAGUACUCUGGGAGGCACGCCUGUCUGAGCGUCAUUUCAACCAUCAAGCCCCCGGGCUUGUGUUGGGGACCUGCGGCUGCCCGCAGGCCCUGAAAACCAGUGGCGGGCUCGCUGUCACACCGAGCGUAGUAGCAAUCACCUCGCUCAGGGCGUGCUGCGGGUUCCGGCCGUUAAACAGCCUUACAAAACCCAAGGUUGACCUCGGAUCAGGUAGGAAGACCCGCUGAACUUAAGC
This 306-nucleotide unclassified non-coding RNA is filed under the name plant metagenome. Its description in RNAcentral is "partial contains 5.8S ribosomal RNA, internal transcribed spacer 2, and large subunit ribosomal RNA". The stretch from base 1 to 105 matches the Rfam family "5.8S ribosomal RNA", at positions 50 to 154 of the family's 154-position model. The record is from RNAcentral.